AGUGAACGCUGGCGGUAGGCCUAACACAUGCAAGUCGAACGGCAGCACAGUAAGAGCUUGCUCUUACGGGUGGCGAGUGGCGGACGGGUGAGGAAUACAUCGGAAUCUACUUUUUCGUGGGGGAUCACGUAGGGAAACUUACGCUAAUACCGCAUACGACCUACGGGUGAAAGCAUGGGAUCUUCGGACCUUGCGCGAUUGAAUGAGCCGCUGUCGGAUUAGCUAGUUGGCGGGGUAAUGGCCCACCAAGGCGACGAUCCGUAGCUGGACUGAGAGGAUGGUCAGCCACACUGGAGCUGGGACACGGUCCAGACUCCUACGGGAGGCAGCAGUGGGGAAUAUUGGACAAUGGGCGCAAGCCUGAUCCAGCCAUACCGCGUGGGUGAAGAAGGCCUUCGGUUUGUAAAGCCCUUUUGUUGGGAAAGAAAAGCAGCAGGCUAAUACCCCGCUGUUCUGACGGUACCCAAAGAAUAAGCACCGGCUAACUUCGUG
Molecule: ribosomal RNA, 492 nt
Filed under: uncultured bacterium
Lineage: Bacteria
Description: partial 16S ribosomal RNA
Rfam family: Bacterial small subunit ribosomal RNA
Source: RNAcentral